RNA transcript from Toxorhynchites rutilus septentrionalis, 5864 nucleotides. It is a transcript of the gene named zinc finger protein 595-like, with no coding region annotated. The transcript has 10 exons. The record is from RefSeq and is a predicted model, not a curated record. NCBI's taxonomy places the organism in Eukaryota, Metazoa, Arthropoda, Insecta, Diptera, Culicidae.
UUCAUUCAAAUUUUACCAAUUGAAAAUUGCCUUUUAGCCUUCUAAUCUGAUAGAGAAUAGUUUGGAUCCCAAACUCGAAUGUCGCCACUAGCCAUCGCGGAUAUUUUCGUUGUCUCGGGUUGAGGGCGAUAUUGACCGUGUAAGGGGGAAAAAUAUUGAUUGAGGUUAGAUCAGAUGUUGAAAGCCUAGCUGUCACGAUAUUGAAGACACUUAUUGUCAAUCCGGUUGAUCGUGUAAGGUGCCCAAUAGACCCGUCUUGGCAUCAAUCAUAGCACCCGGCUGUCAAAAACAAAUGUAUCUGGGUUUCAAAUUUCAGCGUUUUGGACGGAUGAAUCUGACAAUUUUCUGUUUAUAUACAUUCUAUACGAGUGGAUUGACUUCGAUUUUUUGUAUUAUUCGUGUUCAACCAUAUUAACGUAAGGAAGUUGUAAAAAGUAUUUUUCAAACUCGAUAAAUAUCAAAUUGUGUACUUAACACCGGUUCGAUGUCUCGUAACAAUAAAUUUAAUGUGUGAAACUCAACCCAUUCUAAAACAAUAUUAACGAGAUCGGACCGCACUAUAUUAUCUGUGCGUAUUUCCCUGGGCAAGCAAGGAUUGGGCAAGGAUUGCAAACCCUACAAACAAAACGAUCUGAAUAUUCGUUACCAACGGAAUUAUUUGCCAAAAACUUCGAUCGACUAAAUCAAAUGCGUAUUCGUAGUUUAGUUUUUAAAAAAGUAUGUCUGAGAAAGUAGUUGGUGCCAUGGAAAAUGCAGUUGAAACAGCUGGAACUCAUUAUAGAAAUCCUGGCCUAAAAUUAGAACCGAUCAAAACAGACGAAAGCGAUUCUGGGAAUAAUUUACACGAUCGCGAAAGGGCAGAAUUCGUUCAAGAGCAAAUAAAACUGGAACCCAUCGAUAUCAAAAACGAACCAUCGGAAAUCGAAUUUGUACAACAGCUCAAGCAGGAAUCAAUUGAUGUCAAAAACGAGCUAUUUGAACACGAUGAUGAGACGAUUUGCAAUAACAACAAAAAUAAAAAAUCUAGUCCUUCUAGUGGAAAAUCACGAUGCCGGAAAGAAAGGAAAACUAUUCCAAACAAAUGCUACAUCUGCGAUACAAUGCUCGAAAGCCAGAGCGUUUUAAAUGAUCAUCUCGAGAGCCACAAAGAUAUGAUACCUUACAAUUGCUCACAGUGUAGCACAGAAGCAAAUCCCAUUGAAGCAUCCAAUGUGACAACGCUCAACAAACACUUCGAGACGCACGGUUUCAAAUACAUUUGUUUACACUGCCCUUUACGCUAUCGGACAGGUUCUUCAUUGACGUAUCAUGUGCAGAAAUUUCAUGAGCGAAAAUUCAAUUUUAACUGUGAAUUCUGUGGGAGAGCAUUCAACAAUUAUCAAGAUCACAGGGCUCAUGUUAACAUUCACAAGAAUUUGAUGAUGGAACGAUUCAAAUGCGAACCCUGCCAGAAGUUGUUCCAGUCGAAGCGUUUGCUCCUGCUGCAUCAGAAGACUCUCGCGCACAUUGGGCUUGUCCGUGAGAAGCAGAACAAAACACAAUCGGAUGUAACAAACUCGGAAAAGGUGAAAUCAUUGCAAUUCAUACGGCGAAGUAGGCCCGGAACAUUGGAACGAAAACUUCUCAUCAACGUGAAUGGAUAUGAUCAUAACAUUUCGGAACACAUGGACAAUGACAAGGACUCAAAUCCAAUCGUGAAAAAAGAAACAAUAGCUAUAGACGGUUCGAGAAUAACGAUAAAUCAUGACGGGGAACUCACUGUUGUUAAUCCGGAGGAACCCCCGCAAGAAGUGAAAAUCAUUCCAAACAAAUGCUUCGUUUGUGAUACUGUUUUCGAAAGCGCAAGUGGUUUCAAAGGUCAUCUCACGAGGCACAGAUAUAUGUUACCCUACAAAUGUGCGCAGUGUAGCACUGCGACAAACCCUAUUAUCUUUACCACCAUGAUACUUCUCAAUAGACAUCUGGAAUCACACAGCUUCAACUUUAUUUGUCCACACUGCCCGUCACGAUAUCGAAGAAAAAAUAGCCUAAUACAUCACGUGAAGAGCAUCCAUAUAAAUUUGAAAGCUGGACACAGCUGCGAAACACGAAGAAAAGCUUUGAUCGAUCCUGGUGUCGAUUAUCAGACGCAACAACACAAAUGGAAAUUUUGCCAAAAGUAUUACACUGCACGAAGUAGCUUGAAGAGGCAUCAAGUAAUGCACGUGGGGCAGCAACUGGCGCCUGUUUAUAAAGAAGAAGAGGAGUCACAACCUGAGAUGACAACCGUUGAGAUGAACAAUGCAGUCUCUGGAACAGCGCCACAAAGAAGUACUAUGGACCCAAUAGAAGAAUCUCAUCAUAUUUUGAUACAGACUGAAAACGAUAAAAUCGUUGUAAUGGAUCCAAACGAUAUAGAGAAAACUGCUAACUGCGAUAAAACCACGGAUCAAUCGAAUAACGGGGAAAGCUUUAGUAACAAGAAAAACGAAUCUAGUCACCCCGAUGAACCUGUAGAAGCUAAUCGGGAUGCCAGAGUUGGGAAAACUAUUCCAAACAAAUGCUACAUUUGUGGUCCAGUUCAUGAGAACGAAGACGAGUUUACCGAACAUCUAGAGAGCCACAAGAGUAUGUUACCGUAUAAAUGUUUGCAGUGUAGUAUAGAGGCCCGUACCUUGCUAGCACUCAACAGACAUUUCCAAAGGCACGAAUUCAAAUACGUUUGUCCACACUGCCCGCUACGGUACCGGACUGAUAUUUGGUUAACAUUUCACAUUCAAAGUAUUCACGGAGAUCAGAAAGUUGAAUACUAUUGCAAAACCUGCGGGAAGGGUUUUAACAAAAACAAGUACCACUUGUAUCGGAAACAUGUCAACGCUCACAACGAUCUAGCUUUGCAACGCCACAAGUGCGAACCCUGUCAGAAAGUUUUCUCGCUCAGCAGUUCUCUAAUCAAUCAUCAGGCAUCUUAUUCAUGCAAACGUAAUACAAAAAGGAAAUCGCAAAAGAGUAAAUCCGCUCAAGUAAUGAGCAAAAUGUUUAUUGAAGAGAAAAAUAAUGCCGGAGAAGUUGAAGCUGUGGAACAAAUAAUUACCACAAGCUCACAAGUCACUAAUCAUAACACUGUGGAGCAGGAUGCGAGUAAUAGCGAAAGUUCACCUAUGGAAUCGAAUCCAAGUGAGUUCGAUGGGAGGAUGGCUGCAAUUUUCAUUCAGGAACAAAUAAAUCUAGAACCCAUCGAUAUCAAAAAUGAACCGCCGGAAUCCGAUGACGAAGUAAUGAAUGAUGACGAGCCAACUCACAGCCACAACAACGAGAAUGGCAAUUCUAGCCAUUUCCAGGGGAAACCACCAUGUCAGGAGCGCCGGAAAAAGACAUUCUGAGAGUUCGUUUGCUUAUCACGUACGGUACACUCGUUAUAAACCGCAGUCUGAAUUCCACUGCGAGUUCUGUGGAAAAAGUUCUCAACAAUUAUCAUAAGCAUCGAAUUUCUGUUAUUGCCCACAAGAACCUCAUUGCGCAACGAUACGAAUGCGAACUCUGCCUCAAGGUGUUCCAAACGAGGCAUACUUUCCUACAACGCCAGGAAACCUUCGCUCACGUACAGAUAGUGCCAAGGGGACGAGUAACCCGCGAAGGAAGGAAAGGAGGGUAUGAGGAUGUAGGGACAAUCACACACGAAGAUCGAUAGCUUUAAGGAAAACAUAUAUAUGGGACAUGUAAUCAAGGUCUAACCGAGCCAACACAUCUCUCACCGGCACAUUGGGCUGUCUUCCUCGGGCCCGAAGGGAGUUUUCUAAAUUCGAUCUGGCGACCAGAUACACCUCGACGACCAAACAAUGUGCUCGAUGUCGUGAUAACCUUGGCCACAAACGUAGAGAUUGCUGCUGGCAAGAUUGAAACGAAAGAGUAGUGCAUCUAACGAACAGUGAUUGGACAUGAGUCGGGAGAAGGUGCGAGUAAAGUCCCGACUCAAGUCUAGACUUUUGAACCACGGUUUGAGGCUAACCUUAGGGAUAAUCGAGUGAAACCACCAGCCCAAUUACUGUAAAUCAUGAAAAAGAUUAUUUUAUUUAUAUGUUUUGAAACAUUUGUAUACUUGAAUAGACACAGGUGCGCUAAACUAGAGCAUUCAGAAAGGUGGAUAAUGUGUUCCGGAUCACCGAGGAAAACUACUAAAUGAUACUUAAUCAAAUUCUUCGGAGUACAAUUAAAAAGAGUGUGACUUAUUUGGGAGUCGAAUUCGGAAAUAAACUUUAUUUCAACAACUACUUUGACUACCGCCGAAUGCUGAAUACACGAAAAAUUUAAGUUACCUAAGGUGUCUAUACAGGGCCUGAUUCUCCAGCGCGAAUGGAAUGUGACAACAAUGAACUCCUCAAAGUCACAUGACCCAGGUCACCGUAUCGCCGAAGGCGAUUGCCCUGACGUGAGAGGUUCAUUUUGUAGUAAAAUACUCAAUGAAUUACAAAUGGUACAGUGUUCAUUGAAAUAUAUGUCAAAGCUUGUGUUUUUUGCAAAGGCUCUAUUUAUUUAAUGUGUUUCAUGAAUAUAUAUUUCUUUUAUUUUAAAAAUUUUCAUUCCUUGUUACAAAUAUGUACAGGAAAUAAUUUCGUUCAUCUUUAUAAAUGUUUUCCUCUUAUUAUAAUUGAUGAAAAAUAAUAUCUCUGGCAUAAAAAAACAAAUAAAAAUAUAUUUUCAAAUCUGUUUUUGCAUAGUCCCUUUAAGGGGGUCUCCGUAGCCACAUUGGUUGCGCGUUCGCUUAGUAAGCGAUCGAUCGUGAGUUCAAAACUCAGGGCCCUCAUUGACCAUCUUUGUGUUGUUACAGAAUAGCUACGUCCACGCAACAAUCAACAGCGAUGGAGAUCGAUCCACGGUCGAAAUUAGAUCGAUUCAUCCAUACAACUGCUCUGCUAUGCAAGACACAUCGGGCUGCUGUUCUAUAAAUAACUCAACAAUGAUCAAUCAACUGUCUCCGCUGUCCGGUGGUCCAACUGGAUAAUGGAAGAACAGAAAGAAUACUCUUACGCCUAAAUGGCUACUGUGUAAAUGUACCAUAUGCAAAGGUAUAGAACGAAUACUGGCGAAUGGCAACUGUGUAAUGUAAUGUGCUAUAAUUAUAGAUAUGAUAACCAUGUGACAUGUACACGAUUAAAAUUCGGCUCUGUUACAGCUAAAAUGCUAAUGAGCCUAAAAUAAAUAAAUGGGAUAAAAAAAAAUAGUCCCUUUGCAUUAAUAUGAGUGUAUGUUAUUUCAAUUGUUUUGAUUUCGUAUCCGUGUUUUGAUUCCGCAUUCGUUUUUUGACUUAGUGUCCGGUGCUGAUUUUAGCGUAAUUAUUGCUAAAAGUUUAUCGGAAGGUUGACUAUUCUUUAUAACAUUACAGUGAACAUUAAUUUUAUAGUCGCCUCACAUAAAAGUCAUCAAGACAAUGAGCCGAUAAAAAUGAUAGAGCUGUCAAGAAUCUUGUAAUUCCACUGUCCGAAACUGCGCUGUUAUCGUUUGGAUUCUCACUGGAUGAGCCCGGUGAGCACGCAUCUCGCAUCUACCUUAUGGUCAAGCUGGGUCUUGAAAUGGAUAAGCACAGAUGAUACUCCAUCCGCAACUACUGAUGAAGAUGCUCCUCCACUAGUGGAUGACACCGAGGAUGCCCCACACAUGGAAGAAGUUGAUUAAACAUAUACGGUUUUUAACUACUUAAGUAGCUUUUCGUAAUUUUUGAAUGUCUGAUUUGUGUUUUUGGAGAAAGGAAACGGUAUGCUGAAUUGAGUUUCUCGUAUCAGUUAGGGUCAACUAUUGUAAACUUUCAAUUUAAUUUUGUACCGCGUUAUAGCGGCUGCAGAAGAUGUAUAUUCUUGUCAUUAGUAAUAGCAUACCAAAUACUUGAA